CAACAGUGGAAAAUGCACUAAACCAAUGCAGGGUUGUGAUUUACAGAAAUCAAAUAUCCUUUGGAAAAGAGCUUUAAAACAGGAACACCAAACAGGGUCAAUGUUUUCUGGAGGAAGCCAGCAGCCGCAUCAUAAGAACACUCAAGUAGCCGUAAGGAAAAGUCCAAGAGGUAAAGAACUGAAGCCUCCUGCAAUGGCCAGCACUAUCUUGCCAACCAUGGGAGUCAAGAAUGAACCACACCAGAAGCAGAUCUUCCUGCCCAAGUCAAGCUCUCAUGUAACAGUAGUCCCCGCUGACGCCUUCACUGCAACACUGACCAUUAGUCCUCUUACAUUCCUCAUCCACAGAAACUGUGAGAUAAUAAAUGUGUUAUUUACACCAAAAAGCUUUGGGAUUGGUACGGUUACAAAGCAUUAGAUAACUAACACAUGACUUUACAAGGUGGUGAUGAAAAUUAAUUCAGUUAAUCUACAAAAAGUGCUUUGGAACGGUAGUCCAGGGCACCUGAGGGGCUCAAUUAAGCAUCUGACUCUUGAUUUUGGCUCAGGUUGUGAUUUUAGGGUCAUGAGAUCAGGCAUGGAGCCUACUAAAGAGUCUUUCUUUCCCUUUCUUAAAAAAAACAAAAAACAAAGCAAAGCAAAACAAAACAAAAAAAUUAUUCCUUACACAUAAUAAGCACUAUAUAAAUGCUGACUGCCACUAUCAGUAUAAUACUACUAAUAAUGUUUUUAAUAUUAUUUUUCAUUUGCCCAAGGGGCAAGAGUUAAAGGAAUAUUGCCCACUUUUGCAAAAGUAAGUUAUACAUUUCUGAAGAGCAAAUUAGCAUUGUGUAUUAAAAAUCAGAGAAGACCCCAUACUAUUUAACCUAGAAGUUACACUAGGUAAUCAUCUGAAGUUUAUCACACAAGUUCAAGAAAACCUCUUUUAUGAUAUUGAGUAUGUAUAUAUGUACAUAGGUAUGUAUGUAAGUACGUAUUUAUUUUAGUACGUAUUUAUUUAGUCCUGGACAAGACUGAGUCGUAGUAAGCUGAAAAACAGAGAAUGUUGAAUACACACAAUCCACAGAGGAAUGGAUUUCCUCAAAAUUAUUAAUCUACAAUUUCAAGAUGUUACAAAUUUCUUUUCCUUAUUUUCAAACACAUACACUUCCAAAAUUUGUUGGAAAUAACAUCUCAGCUCUUUACAUUCACCUUGGUGAUUUUUUAAAAAUGGUUAUCACUUUUUAAAUUUGCCUUAUUUUUCACUCAUCAUUGGAAGCUGAGUUAACAUUCAAGAAGGAAAUAGCUACUGAUUUAUCUUCAGUUUUAGUUUGUAUAAAUAUAAGGAUACAAAAUAGCUAAUGGCUUAAAUGAGAACUUGGCACGAAUGAAACUGUUAUAUUAAAAUAUUAAAUGGCAUUUGUCACGGGUUAUAAAAAUAACAAUAUGCUAAUUGCACAAUUUCAUAAAUUCACAUACAUUAUCUUUUACCACCCUAAUGAAAUUUCAGCUCCUACAAAUUAUUAUAGUCUGUAUAAACAUAACCCCUAGUCAUAAUUAAGUGAAUAACACACUCCGUCCUUACAUAUUACCAUUCACAAAUGUUUUUAAGGCAUUAAUUAUACUUGAUAAAUUGGACCUUGUGGGAUAAAAUGUAAAAAUGUAAAAUCUAUAAAUAAAUUUAAAAACAACUAUUAUCAGCAAAACCACCUUCUAGCUAGUAUAAUGCUUCUAUAUACAAAUGAAAUAUAAUUCAUUAUAUGUGAACUAUAUUAAUAAAAUUGUUAUCCUAC
RNAcentral lists this long non-coding RNA (1772 nucleotides) under Mustela putorius furo (domestic ferret). RNAcentral's name for it is "lncRNA (ENSMPUG00000029500.1)". The record is from RNAcentral. Lineage: Eukaryota; Metazoa; Chordata; Mammalia; Carnivora; Mustelidae.